AUGAAGUCACAGCUGGAAGGGGCCGGGCUGGGGCUGCCACUCCAGGGUGGGGCCUGGGGUCACGACCCUGGGAGCAGGCGGCCAAGAAGGGAGGCUGCCUUCCGUGAGGGAGCUGGGGUGGGGGGGAGACACACACACAGCAGCGCAGAGAGGGAGGGAAGAAAACAAACUCCAGGAGACCAAGCCGCCUGGAGCGCGGCCUGGGCUGCCGAUUCCCGGGGACCGCGGCCACGUUGCAGGCGGCUCCGAGACCCUGCUCGGCCUUCGUCCCGAGAGGCCCGGCGCAGGUGGUGGCCGGACAUGGACGGGAGAGGGAGGCUGGGCCUGGGGUGCCGAGGGGCCCGGAACACUUGGGGAGCACGGACCAAGUCAGGCUCCAGUAUAUAAAUCAGGCAAAUUCCCCAUUUGAGCAUGAACCUCUGAAAACUGCCGGCAUCUAAGGUCUCCUUCAAGGCCCUCUGGAGUGCAGCCCAUAAUGAAGGUCUUGGCGGCAGGUAAAUCCACCCGCCCCCCGCCCCGGGCUGGCUUCCGCCGGGAGCCCCGGCCGCGGGCGCCGCGGCAAACUUGGGGCCCCUGGCGAACGCGAACGGGACACCCACCAGCCGCAGACACACGGACACUUGGGGCGC
RNAcentral lists this long non-coding RNA (629 nucleotides) under Capra hircus (goat). RNAcentral's name for it is "lncRNA (ENSCHIG00010030541.1)". The record is from RNAcentral. Lineage: Eukaryota; Metazoa; Chordata; Mammalia; Artiodactyla; Bovidae.